GCGGGCAUCGUAUAAUGGUUAUUAUAUCUGCCUUCCAAGCAGAUGAUGGCGGUUCGAUUCCGCUUGCCCGCU
This 72-nucleotide transfer RNA is filed under the name Anaplasmataceae bacterium. It matches the Rfam family "tRNA". Rfam says of the family: Transfer RNA (tRNA) molecules are approximately 80 nucleotides in length. Lineage: Bacteria; Pseudomonadati; Pseudomonadota; Alphaproteobacteria; Rickettsiales; Anaplasmataceae. The record is from Rfam by way of RNAcentral.